Molecule: long non-coding RNA, 497 nt
Filed under: Prunus dulcis (almond)
Lineage: Eukaryota; Viridiplantae; Streptophyta; Magnoliopsida; Rosales; Rosaceae
Description: sRNA ncRNA
Source: RNAcentral
GCUGCACAUUUUUGCUUGUUUCAAAACAUCAUGUAAGUGCCUAAAUACAUAAAAUAAUAUAAACAAGUCAGCACAAAAAAACACACGACGGUUAUGUAUACAAAACGACGUAUUAUAAUAUUUCACACGACGUACUGAAAUAGAUGAGGACGUUAUAAUAUAUUUAUCACGACGGUACGUUAUAAUAUAAUAUUUCACACGACGUGGUUAGUUAGUUAAGACGACGAAAUAUAUAAACCAACGACGUAUUAUUUUAGAAUUACGAACCUCAUAUAUACAGCCACCACAGUAGCUCCAAUUUCUUCCAUGCCUGCAAAUUGUGUAAUAUCUUCAGGCAGGAGGAAGGUAUCGCGAUCACUCCCAAACACCUCCUUAUCAAUUUUAAAUUCCAAGAUCUUAUCCUCAGGCAGGAGUGUCGUUUCCACAUAACGACAAAGGCUUUUCAAAGAAGAUGGCGCCUCCAUAUUUGAAUAAUCACCAACUUCAAUAACCUGUUU